Pelobates fuscus (common spadefoot toad) is the source of this 143-nucleotide non-coding RNA. RefSeq annotates it as small Cajal body-specific RNA 11. The transcript has a single exon. The record is from RefSeq and is a predicted model, not a curated record. Lineage: Eukaryota; Metazoa; Chordata; Amphibia; Anura; Pelobatidae.
GUCCUCCCCCCUCAUUAUCUUUAUGGCCCCCACCCACCGCUCAAGGGUGGGGGCCGGGGGGAGGACAGUAGGUCCCUCCCUCCCAUUGUAAUUUAUGGCCCCCACCCACCGCGCAGGGGUGGGGGCCAGGAGGGGAGGACAGU